UGGCUCAGAUUGAACGCUGGCGGCAGGCCUAACACAUGCAAGUCGAGCGGAUGAGAAGAGCUUGCUCUUCGAUUCAGCGGCGGACGGGUGAGUAAUGCCUAGGAAUCUGCCUGGUAGUGGGGGACAACGUUUCGAAAGGAACGCUAAUACCGCAUACGUCCUACGGGAGAAAGCAGGGGACCUUCGGGCCUUGCGCUAUCAGAUGAGCCUAGGUCGGAUUAGCUAGUUGGUGAGGUAAUGGCUCACCAAGGCGACGAUCCGUAACUGGUCUGAGAGGAUGAUCAGUCACACUGGAACUGAGACACGGUCCAGACUCCUACGGGAGGCAGCAGUGGGGAAUAUUGGACAAUGGGCGAAAGCCUGAUCCAGCCAUGCCGCGUGUGUGAAGAAGGUCUUCGGAUUGUAAAGCACUUUAAGUUGGAGGAAGGGCAGUAAGCGAAUACCUUGCUGUUUUGACGUUACCGACAGAAUAAGCACCGGCUAACUCUGUGCCAGCAG
Molecule: ribosomal RNA, 498 nt
Filed under: Pseudomonas sp.
Lineage: Bacteria; Pseudomonadati; Pseudomonadota; Gammaproteobacteria; Pseudomonadales; Pseudomonadaceae
Description: bacterial SSU rRNA
Rfam family: Bacterial small subunit ribosomal RNA
Source: RNAcentral